ACCUAUAUAAUUCUCACGUACAAGAUUAGGGUUUUGUGUCUCCGUGUUCGCUGCGUAGCCGUCGUCGCUGCUUGCCUCCCCACUAAGCUCAUCCCCUCUCCUAAUAUGGCCGUCGGAAAGAAUAAGAGGAUUUCCAAGGGGAAGAAGGGAGGCAAGAAGAAGGCGGCCGAUCCGUUUGCGAAGAAGGAUUGGUACGAUAUCAAAGCACCUUCAGUGUUCGCAGUAAAAAAUGUGGGCAAAACCCUUGUUACUCGCACUCAGGGUACCAAGAUUGCCUCUGAAGGGCUCAAACAUAGAGUCUUUGAGGUAUCAAUGGCUGAUCUUCAGGAUGAUGAGGAUCAUGCAUACAGAAAGAUCAGAUUGAGAGCUGAGGAUGUUCAAGGGAAGAAUGUCCUGACCAAUUUCUGGGGAAUGGAUUUUACCACAGACAAGUUGAGGUCUUUGGUAAGGAAAUGGCAGACAAUGAUCGAGGCUCAUGUGGAUGUGAAGACUACUGACAAUUACAGUUUGAGGAUGUUCUGCAUUGGAUUUACUAAGAGGCGGCAAAACCAAGUCAAGAGGACCUGUUAUGCCCAGUCCAGCCAAAUUAGACAGAUCCGUCGUAAGAUGAGGGAGAUCAUGAUCAACCAGGCAUCGUCUUGCGAUCUGAAGGAGUUGGUUCGCAAAUUCAUCCCCGAGUCAAUUGGCAAAGAGAUCGAGAAGGCAACCUCGGGCAUCUACCCUCUACAAAAUGUGUUUAUUCGGAAAGUCAAGAUUUUGAAGGCUCCAAAAUUUGAUCUUGGAAAGUUGAUGGAGGUGAGUCUAUCUAUCUAGCUAUUUGUUGUUGUAUGCGCACAAUAGAGAUUAUCAAAGAGUUCAUAAAGGUUCAUGGUGACUAUUCAGAUGAUGUUGGUGUCAAGGUGGAGAGGCCCGCUGAUGAGACUAUGGUGGAGGUGCCUGCUGAACCAGUUGGAGCCUGAAUGUAGGAUUAUGAAGUUGCCUUUUAGCUUAUGCUAUUUCUUUUUUUUGGCAUGAGAAUUGUGUUGCUCGAUUCUUUUUAUUAUGAACGCAGUUUUGCGAAUUUGUCGUUAACAAACAAUUUUGGUCUGUUCAAUCAAAGUGGACAACUUCUUGUUUUCAUCCGAAAUGUUUGUUUUAAGAAAGAUGCUAUAUAUUACACCUUUGAUCUCACUCUUA
RNA transcript from Carya illinoinensis, 1176 nucleotides. It is a transcript of the gene named 40S ribosomal protein S3a-like, with no coding region annotated. The transcript has 7 exons. The record is from RefSeq and is a predicted model, not a curated record. Lineage: Eukaryota; Viridiplantae; Streptophyta; Magnoliopsida; Fagales; Juglandaceae.